GUGGGGAAUAUUGCACAAUGGGGGAAACCCUGAUGCAGCGACGCCGCGUGAGUGAAGAAGUAUUUCGGUACGUAAAGCUCUAUCAGCAAGGAAGAAAAUGACGGUACUUGACUAAGAAGCCCCGGCUAACUACGUGCCAGCAGCCGCGGUAAUACGUAGGGGGCAAGCGUUAUCCGGAUUUACUGGGUGUAAAGGGAGCGUAGACGGUAUGGUAAGUCAGAUGUGAAAGCCCGGGGCUCAACCCCGGGACUGCAUUUGAAACUAUCAGACUAGAGUGCAGGAGAGGUAAGGGGAAUUCCUAGUGUAGCGGUGAAAUGCGUAGAUAUUAGGAGGAACACCAGUGGCGAAGGCGGCUUACUGGACUGUAACUGACGUUGAGGCUCGAAAGCGUGGGGAGCAAACAGGAUUAGAUACCCUUGUAGUCC
This 425-nucleotide ribosomal RNA is filed under the name uncultured bacterium. RNAcentral describes it as "partial 16S ribosomal RNA". It matches the Rfam family "Bacterial small subunit ribosomal RNA", at positions 354 to 796 of the family's 1533-position model. The record is from RNAcentral.